This is a small nuclear RNA of Varanus komodoensis (Komodo dragon), 109 nucleotides long. The record is from Ensembl. Lineage: Eukaryota; Metazoa; Chordata; Lepidosauria; Squamata; Varanidae.
UCUCCAACCUGGGGAGGGCAAUAAAAUAAAUCAAAUCAAGUUUCUAUCUGCACCAGCAUGGCCCCUGCGCAAGGAUGACAUGCAACUUCGUGAAGCAUUCCAUAUUUUU